Molecule: transfer RNA, 65 nt
Filed under: Fascioloides magna
Lineage: Eukaryota; Metazoa; Platyhelminthes; Trematoda; Plagiorchiida; Fasciolidae
Description: tRNA-Lys
Source: RNAcentral
CUGGGGAUAGCUUAAGUUUAAAGUUUAGAAUUCUUACUUCUAGGAUGUCUAUUUGAUUCUCCGGG